CCGAAGAUUUCCGAAUGAGGAAACUCACUUAGAGUAAUGUCUAAGUAUCAUUAAGUGAAUACAUAGCUUAAUGAGGGGAACUCAGGGAACUGAAACAUCUAAGUACCUGAAGGAAGAGAAAGAAAUUCGAUUCCGUAAGUAGCGGCGAGCGAACGCGGAUUAGCCCAAACCAAUAAAGUUUUCUUUAUUGGGGUUGCGGACAUAUCAUAACGAAGAGGUAUCGUAAUUGAAGAGGUUUGGAAAGACCCACCACAGAAGGUAAUAGUCCUGUAUGUUAAACGAGAAGACUUUAGAUAUGAUCCAGAGUACCACGGGACACGUGAAGCCCUGUGGGAAGCAGGAGGGACCACCCUCCAAGGCUAAAUACUACCUAGUGACCGAUAGCGUAUAGUACCGUGAGGGAAAGGUGAAAAGAACC
RNAcentral lists this ribosomal RNA (418 nucleotides) under Clostridioides difficile. RNAcentral's name for it is "partial 23S ribosomal RNA". It matches the Rfam family "Bacterial large subunit ribosomal RNA", at positions 104 to 525 of the family's 2925-position model. The record is from RNAcentral. Lineage: Bacteria; Bacillati; Bacillota; Clostridia; Peptostreptococcales; Peptostreptococcaceae.